Molecule: long non-coding RNA, 93 nt
Organism: Frieseomelitta varia
Lineage: Eukaryota; Metazoa; Arthropoda; Insecta; Hymenoptera; Apidae
Exons: 2
Source: RefSeq, a predicted model, not a curated record
UUAACCUCUUGCGCUGGUACGACGUGCCACGCACGUCGAGAAUUUUUUGCUCCAAAAUUGCAAUAUUUUCUCAGUUUUAAGUAUAUUUAAGUA